AAGAUCCCAGGAUCAACUAUUACUCCUAAAUUGUAUUUAUGCUGAAUUGUUAAGCCUGUCAAACUAAUGCUAACAGCUUUUAACUGAAAAUAAUUGUUUUUGCUGUCUUUUUGUUCUACCUCUUUGUUUCUCUCAGCAUAUGAAGUGGGAUGCCUCAAGUAAAUCAGAGAAACUUUUUCACUAAAAGGACGAAGGAACUCAAACCUGCUGUCCAAAGUGCUCCUGGCUGGAAGUUGUUUGGAAAAGUCCCACCCAGGGAAAAUCUUCAGAAAGAUUCCAAAAUAAUUCAGCAGGAUGACAGUUCUGGCAGUCUUGCGUCAAUAUCUGCUCUCAGUCUAUUAAACACAGGGGUAUGGAAUUUAAUAUUUUUUUCUAGUUGCAUUAAUGCCAUGCAUGGGACUGUAUAGCACUCAUUAAAAAUAGAACAACAUCACAUUUCCACAGUAGCAUGAAUAUUUUAUGGCACUAACCAUCAACUCAUUAGAUACCAUUAGUUUAAAAAAG
RNAcentral lists this long non-coding RNA (504 nucleotides) under Struthio camelus australis. RNAcentral's name for it is "lncRNA (ENSSCUG00000017067.1)". The record is from RNAcentral. Lineage: Eukaryota; Metazoa; Chordata; Aves; Struthioniformes; Struthionidae.